This 254-nucleotide ribosomal RNA is filed under the name uncultured bacterium. RNAcentral describes it as "partial 16S ribosomal RNA". It matches the Rfam family "Bacterial small subunit ribosomal RNA", at positions 524 to 776 of the family's 1533-position model. The record is from RNAcentral.
UACAGAGGUCCCAAGCGUUUGUUCGGAUUCAUUGGGCGUAAAGGGUGCGUAGGUGGCGGGGUUAGUCAGGUGUGAAAUCUCGGAGCUCAACUCCGAAACUGCACUUGAUACUGCCUUGCUUGAGUACUGGAGAGGAGAUUGGAAUUUACGGUGUAGCAGUGAAAUGCGUAGAUAUCGAGAGGAACACCUGCGGCGAAGGCGGGUUGCUGGGCUGACACUGACGCUGAGGCGCGAAAGCCAGGGGAGCGAACGGG